AGAGUUUGAUCCUGGCUCAGGAUGAACGCUAGCUACAGACUUAACACAUGCAAGUCGAGGGGCAGCGGUAUCGAAAGCUUGCUUUCGGUAGCCGGCGACCGGCGCACGGGUGAGUAACGCGUACCGAACCUGCCUCAUACUCGGGAAUAGCCUUGCGAAAGUAAGAUUAAUGCCCGGUGUUUUCAGAGUCCCGCAUGAGGCUUUGAACAAAGAUUUAUCGGUAUGAGAUGGCGAUGCGUCCCAUUAGCUUGUUGGCGGGGUAACGGCCCACCAAGGCAUCGAUGGGUAGGGGUUCUGAGAGGAAGGUCCCCCACAUUGGAACUGAGACACGGUCCAAACUCCUACGGGAGGCAGCAGUGAGGAAUAUUGGUCAAUGGGCGGAAGCCUGAACCAGCCAGGUAGCGUGCAGGAAGACGGCCCUCCGGGUUGUAAACUGCUUUUAGUUGGGAAUAAAACGGGGCUCGUGAGCCCCCUUGCAUGUACCAUCAGAAAAAGGACCGGCUAAUUCCGUGCCAGCAGCCGCGGUAAUACGGAAGGUCCGGGCGUUAUCCGGAUUUAUUGGGUUUAAAGGGAGCGCAGGCGGACCUUUAAGUCAGCUGUGAAAUACGGCGGCUCAACCGUCGAACUGCAGUUGAUACUGGAGGUCUUGAGUGCACACAGGGAUGCUGGAAUUCAUGGUGUAGCGGUGAAAUGCUCAGAUAUCAUGAAGAACUCCGAUCGCGAAGGCAGGCAUCCGGGGUGCAACUGACGCUGAGGCUCGAAAGUGCGGGUAUCAAACAGGAUUAGAUACCCUGGUAGUCCGCACAGUAAACGAUGAAUACUCGCGGUUUGCGAUAUAGUGUAAGCCGCCAAGCGAAAGCGUUAAGUAUUCCACCUGGGGGAGUACGCCGGCAACGGUGAAACUCAAAGGAAUUGACGGGGGCCCGCCAAACGGAGGAACAAUGUGGUUUAAUUCCAUGAUACCCGAGGAACCUUCCCCGGGUUGAAUUUGAGGAGAACAAUCCCAAAAAUUUUAAGGCCUUCCGGAACCCCUGUGAAGGGGUUGCCAGGGUGUCUUCACCCCUCGCCCCGAGGGGGCGCGUUAAUUGCCUAACAAAAGCGAACCCCUUCCCCUAAUUUGCCCCCCAGGGAGACUGGGGCACUUCCGGACAUCGCCCCCCAAAGGUGGGAGAGAGAGGGGGGGAGAGGGCGGCAAAAACAACACGGCCCUUACGUCCGGGGCUACACACGUGUUACAAUGGGUCAUACAGAGUGUUGUGCGUAUGCAAAUACGUUCUAAUCAUUAAAAUGAUCCUCAGUUCGGAUUGGGGUCUGCAACCCGACCCCAUGAAGCUGGAUUCGCUAGUAAUCGCGCAUCAGCCAUGGCGCGGUGAAUACGUUCCCGGGCCUUGUACACACCGCCCGUC
Molecule: ribosomal RNA, 1406 nt
Filed under: uncultured bacterium
Lineage: Bacteria
Description: bacterial SSU rRNA
Rfam family: Bacterial small subunit ribosomal RNA
Source: RNAcentral